Molecule: ribosomal RNA, 469 nt
Filed under: uncultured Bacteroidota bacterium
Lineage: Bacteria; Pseudomonadati; Bacteroidota
Description: bacterial SSU rRNA
Rfam family: Bacterial small subunit ribosomal RNA
Source: RNAcentral
UAGCAAUACAUGGGUGGCGAGUGGCGCACGGGUGCGUAACACGUAUGCAAUUUGCCCAUAACUGGGGGAUAGCCCUCCGAAAGGAGGAUUAAUACCCCAUAACCCAGCGAGGUGGCAUCACCUUUCUGGUAAAUCUCCGGAGGUUAUGGAUGAGCAUGCGUCUGAUUAGCUAGUUGGUGAGGUAACGGCUCACCAAGGCAACGAUCAGUAGGGGGUCUGAGAGGAUGAUCCCCCACACGGGUACUGAGACACGGACCCGACUCCUACGGGAGGCAGCAGUAAGGAAUAUUGGACAAUGGAGGCAACUCUGAUCCAGCCAUGCCGCGUGAAGGAUGAAGGCCCUACGGGUUGUAAACUUCUUUUCUCUUAGAAAAAACUACUGGUUUCGUACCGGUACUGAUUGUACAAGAGGAAUAAGCAUCGGCUAACUUCGUGCCAGCAGCCGCGGUAAUACGAAGGAUGCAAGCGU